GACGAACGCUGGCGGCGUGCUUAACACAUGCAAGUCGAACGGAAAGGCCCUGCUUUUGUUGGGUGCUCGAGUGGCGAACGGGUGAGUAACACGUGAGUAACCUGCCCUUGACUUUGGGAUAACUUCAGGAAACUGGGGCUAAUACCGGAUAUGAGCUCCUGCUGCAUGGGGGGGGUUGGAAAGUUUCGGCGGUGGGGGAUGGACUCGCUGGUUAUGAGCUUGUUGGUGGGGUAGUGGCUUACCAAGGCUUUGACGGGUAGCCGGCAUGAGAGGGUGACCGGCCACAUGGGGACUGAGAUACGGACCAGAAUCCUACGGGAGGCAGCAGUGGGGAAUAUUGCACAAUGGGGGGAAGCCUGAGGCAGCAACGCCGCGUGCGGGAUGACGGCCUUCGGGUUGUAAACAGCUUUCGCCUGUGACGAACAGUGAGUGACGGUAAUGGGUAAAGAAGCACCGGCUAACUACGUG
This 468-nucleotide ribosomal RNA is filed under the name uncultured bacterium. RNAcentral describes it as "partial 16S ribosomal RNA". It matches the Rfam family "Bacterial small subunit ribosomal RNA", at positions 28 to 507 of the family's 1533-position model. The record is from RNAcentral.